AUCUGGCUGGCUCAGUCAGAAGAGCAUGUGAUUGUUGAUCUUGGGGUCAUGGAUUUGAGUCCCAUGUUAGGUG
This 73-nucleotide transfer RNA is filed under the name Canis lupus familiaris (dog). It matches the Rfam family "tRNA". From Rfam's summary of the family: Transfer RNA (tRNA) molecules are approximately 80 nucleotides in length. Their secondary structure includes four short double-helical elements and three loops (D, anti-codon, and T loops). The record is from Rfam by way of RNAcentral. Lineage: Eukaryota; Metazoa; Chordata; Mammalia; Carnivora; Canidae.